UACAGAGGUCUCAAGCGUUUGUUCGGAUUCAUUGGGCGUAAAGGGUGCGUAGGUGGCGCCGUAAGUCAGGUGUGAAAUUUCGGAGCUUAACUCCGAAACUGCAUUUGAUACUGCGGUGCUUGAGGACUGGAGAGGAGACUGGAAUUUACGGUGUAGCAGUGAAAUGCGUAGAUAUCUGGAGGAACACCGGUGGCGAAGGCGGCAUCCUGGACCAUUACUGACGCUGAGUGAGCGAAAAGCCAGGGGAGCAAAGCGGG
This 257-nucleotide ribosomal RNA is filed under the name uncultured bacterium. Its description in RNAcentral is "partial 16S ribosomal RNA". It matches the Rfam family "Bacterial small subunit ribosomal RNA", at positions 524 to 777 of the family's 1533-position model. The record is from RNAcentral.